This 57-nucleotide transfer RNA is filed under the name Stegodyphus mimosarum. It matches the Rfam family "tRNA", at positions 17 to 71 of the family's 71-position model. From Rfam's summary of the family: Transfer RNA (tRNA) molecules are approximately 80 nucleotides in length. Their secondary structure includes four short double-helical elements and three loops (D, anti-codon, and T loops). Lineage: Eukaryota; Metazoa; Arthropoda; Arachnida; Araneae; Eresidae. The record is from Rfam by way of RNAcentral.
GGAUAAGGCGUCUGACUUCGAAUCAGAAGAUUGCAGGUUCGAAUCCUGUCGCGGACG